CCUACGGGAGGCAGCAGUGGGGGAUAUUGGACAAUGGGGGGAACCCUGAUCCAGCGACGCCGCGUGAGUGAAGAAGUAUUUCGGUAUGUAAAGCUCUGUCAGCAGGGAAGAAAGAAAUGACGGUACCUGACCAAGAAGCCCCGGCUAACUACGUGCCAGCAGCCGCGGGAAUACGUAGGGGGCAAGCGUUAUCCGGAAUUACUGGGUGUAAAGGGAGCGUAGACGGUUAAGUAAGUCUGGAGUGAAAGGCCGGGGCCCAACCCCGGGACUGCUCUGGAAACUAUUGAACUUGAGUGCAGGAGAGGUAAGCGGAAUUCCUAGUGUAGCGGUGAAAUGCGUAGAUAUUAGGAGGAACACCAGUGGCGAAGGCGGCUUACUGGACUGUAACUGACGUUGAGGCUCGAAAGCGUGGGGAGCAAACAGGAUUAGAUACCCUUGUAGUC
Molecule: ribosomal RNA, 443 nt
Filed under: uncultured bacterium
Lineage: Bacteria
Description: partial 16S ribosomal RNA
Rfam family: Bacterial small subunit ribosomal RNA
Source: RNAcentral